AUUGAACGCUGGCGGCAUGCUUUACACAUGCAAGUCGAACGGCAGCGCGGGCUUCGGCCUGGCGGCGAGUGGCGAACGGGUGAGUAAUGCAUCGGAACGUGCCCAGUAGUGGGGGAUAGCCCGGCGAAAGCCGGAUUAAUACCGCAUACGACCUGAGGGUGAAAGCGGGGGACCGAAAGGCCUCGCGCUCUUGGAGCGGCCGAUGUCGGAUUAGCUAGUUGGUGGGGUAAAGGCUUACCAAGGCGACGAUCCGUAGCUGGUCUGAGAGGACGACCAGCCACACUGGGACUGAGACACGGCCCAGACUCCUACGAGAGGCAGCAGUGGGGAAUUUUGGACAAAGGGGGCAACCCUGAUCCAGCCAUGCCGCGUGCGGGAAGAAGGCCUUCGGGUUGUAAACCGCUUUUGUUCGGGAAGAAAUCCUCUGGGCUAAUACCCCGGGGGGAUGACGGUACCGGAAGAAUAAGCACCGGCUAACUACGUG
RNAcentral lists this ribosomal RNA (484 nucleotides) under uncultured bacterium. RNAcentral describes it as "partial 16S ribosomal RNA". It matches the Rfam family "Bacterial small subunit ribosomal RNA", at positions 29 to 507 of the family's 1533-position model. The record is from RNAcentral.